CGGAGCCACCGAGAGGAGGAUGAGUCCCUGGAGCUGGUUCCUGCUGCCGACCCUCCGCCUCCUGCCCGCGAGCGCAGCCCCUCCGCACGGCGCGCCCGCCUCCGCCAACUGCAAGCACAAGCCCCAAGUUACAGAGCGCGUUCGUGGAGAGAGAGACCAGGUCUGACAGCCUAGCGUUCACGCACCCGGCGCCUCCUUGGAUCUUCGCAUCAGCGUUUUGGGGUGAGGGGAGCCGAGGUGAGAGAGCCCCAGUGACCUGCCCGUGUCCACCCAGCCCUAUAGGAACAGAAGCCGAACGGAAACCCGGCAGGUCUGGCGUCUCCGGGGCUGAACCUCUUUCGAGAAGAGCAUUUCCAUUUCCUGAUCAAUUUUCCUACGCUCGGAAUUUUCUGCAGGUCUGAAGUCCCUCUUUCUGAGUUGCGUGGAAGUUGACUUUUGCGAGCUUGCAUCGGUGGGUCCAAGCUCUGUGGAUCCCUGGCGCUGGGGAGGGUGAUCGUAGACUGAGCGCCCUCGGACGCCGGGUGCCGGAGUUCAGGGGUCUGCCCACCUUCGGUGACACCUGCGCAGCAUCCAGGGCCGCGUCCACUUCCCUCCGUGGUUUUAUUCAUCGUCUUAACCACAGCAAGGGAGAAGGGGACCUCACUGAGCCGUUCCUGGCGCACAGGGCUGCCCGGGAAGCUGCACUGUGUUCCUAGGGCGCCCAGGGCUGCGGACGCGCGGAGGCCGAAGAGGGAAAUCCUCACCAGGGAUCGUUCCAAACUCUGCUGCGGGGUGGCAGCUGCGGGCUUGUUAUACAAGGCAGAAGUCCAUCCUUUCAUAUGAAAGCAGAGUGCCUUGCAGUUUUGCGAAUCUAUUACCAACUCGUAAUAAUAUUAUCGAGUGAGUCUUGAUAAGGUCUCUGUUUCUCCCUUCUGUUGAAUCUGUCUUCUUGGUCUUUCGUUCUGUCAGUUCUCAUACUUUUUGGUCUCAUAGUAAAACACUUGUGUGGGUUAACAGAAAUAUUAAUAAAAUGCAAGAAUACUCAAGCACACAUGCCAUUGACUGUCGAAGGGUGAUGUUAUCUAGAGACUUGUAGCCUCUAGAAAAUUCUGUUUGUACACUUGUGAGAGAAUGAAAGAGGAAAAUAUCUUUGUAUUAUUAUGAAAAUAGCUCUGAUCUUACAGACUGCUUGAAAGGGACUUGGGGACAUUCACAAGUCCCUGGACCACACUUUGAGAAUCAAUGUUCUAUUCUGUGGGCAAACUGCCUUGUCCUGUGUGGAGGUCAGAAGGUCAGUCACUGGCAGGGCUGUCUGCUUGACCUGCAGGCUGUAGAGGGCACUGUGGGUGGGUCCCCCAGGGGGUUGAGGUGUUGAGAUUGUAGAGUGAGGCUCUGGAAUCCAGCCUCCCAUCCGGUGUGGCAGCUUCCUGUAGCUUUCUGGAAGGACUGUGGCUUGAUAGCUGGCUUGGUUUUCAACUUUCGUUAAUCAUUAGAGAGGUCUUCUGAGCCGAAGUCCGCCACAGACAAGGCAGGCUUUACCCAGAGCAACACACAGGUUGAGUCUGUUCCUUAUCAACACUCAAACACAAUUCUGGAGUGUUCUACCAUUUCUGCUAGCAUCCUUUCAGAUUUGCUGUUUCUUCACCCAGAUAUCCACAUGCUUGCUCCCAUACUUCCAUCUAGGCUUUGCUCAAAUUCUCUCUAUGAGACCCUUCCCGAUUACCUAUUAAAGAUUAUGUCACCCCCCAAUUCCCCGGCCACCCCGCCCUCCUCUCUGCUUUUCCGACUUUAUUUUCCUGUGUAGCACUUAACCACCAUCUGGUAAAAAUGUUUGUUUAUUGUCCCCCCCCCACGCCCCAAUCUUCAUAAGUGUAGGAAUUUUUGUUUGCUGCUGCAUCCCCAGUGCGUACAAGAGUGCCUGGCCAUAGUAGAUGCUAAAUAAAUAUUUGUCGAAUGAAGAGGGCAAACUAAAGCCAACUUACUUUAAUAUCAUUCCAGCUGAUCUGCUGAAGGGUCCUCUUGGAAAAGAGCAGUUAUCUCAGGUCCAGGAGCUGGAUGGGAAGAGCUGAGGGGGCCCGUGGCUUAGGGGUUUAGCCCACAUGACACAAGCUGUCAUUGUGCUACUUUGUUUCAUUGUAUGGAUUACACGUGUGUUAAAAUCUCCAGUGAGGUGAUUCAGUCCGCAGAACUUCGUGUGUCUCUGUCAUCCAGGGACAUGUCUUUUUCUUUUAAAAGAAACCUGUUCAUGGUGUUAAGUUUUUUUUUUCCUUUGAAAUCAUCAGAAUGUUAAGAUACAUGGCUCCCUCUAGUAGCAUGUAGGGGCCACAAUUACAGUGAAAGGGGGGUGGUAGAGCCAUUUUGGUUUUCUUUUAUGGAGACAAAUAGCCCUUCCCCUGAGGGUGUCGGUGUGAGACAGGGGCAGCUGCACCCCUAAGAUCAGUGCAGCAGCCUAGGGGCUCACCUGUGGGCAAAGGCAAGGUAAGAGCUCCCUGAUCAGAAGCCCUGAAGACUCCCCUUUCAGAAGGGCCAGGUGGAGAGGUGUCAGUAGCCAGAGUGGGAGACAGGGUACCCUCCUGGGUCAGAACAGAACUCCAUGUAUUGAAGAAGCUCCACAAGAUAAGGAUCAUUUCUUUAAAACCACUUUAAAACCCCUGGCUUAAAAAAAAAAA
Molecule: RNA transcript, 2648 nt
Organism: Balaenoptera musculus (blue whale)
Lineage: Eukaryota; Metazoa; Chordata; Mammalia; Artiodactyla; Balaenopteridae
Gene: TRABD2A
Gene name: TraB domain containing 2A
Exons: 2
Source: RefSeq, a predicted model, not a curated record